GAUCCUGGCUUAGGAUGAACGCUGGCGGCGUGCCUAACACAUGCAAGUCGAACGAGCGAGAGAUGAAACCUAGUGAUUCUCGAGCGAGUGGCGGACGGGUGAGUAACGCGUGGGUAACCUGCCUUACAGAGGGGGAUAACAGUCUGAAAAGACUGCUAAUACCGCAUAAGCACACAGUACCGCAUGGUACAGGGUGAAAAGAUUUAUCACUGUAAGAUGGACCCGCGUCUGAUUAGCCAGUUGGCAGGGUAACGGCCUACCAAAGCGACGAUCAGUAGCCGACCUGAGAGGGUGAUCGGCCACAUUGGGACUGAGACACGGCCCAAACUCCUACGGGAGGCAGCAGUGGGGGAUAUUGCACAAUGGAGGAAACUCUGAUGCAGCCGACGCCGCGUGAGUGAAGAAGUAUUUCGGUAUGUAAAGCUCUAUCAGCAGGGAAGAUAAUGACAGUACCUGACCAAGAAGCCCCGGCUAACUACGUGCCAGCCGCCGC
RNAcentral lists this ribosomal RNA (493 nucleotides) under uncultured bacterium. Its description in RNAcentral is "bacterial SSU rRNA". It matches the Rfam family "Bacterial small subunit ribosomal RNA", at positions 15 to 518 of the family's 1533-position model. The record is from RNAcentral.